UUUGCAUCCCCUUACCAAAGGGAGAUUCUGGAUCAGUGGAUGAGGCGCCUGUGAUUGAGCCCGCGGUCGCGGGUUCGAUUCUUGGCAAUGACACCUUUUUUAACAUUUUUCAUCCAGUCCCUUUUAAAAAAAAAAAAAGAUUAACAAAAACGACGUCGUUGGACUCUAUUUUUUUUUUAAAGCAACCACAAAGGAAACUUAGUGGAGGGAUAUUAUUAAAAUAUAAUAGUCAACAAAAGUAAAAACCAAGACAAAAGCAAAAGAAUAGCCGGAACAAAUCCAGCCCAAAUGAAGUUCAGCAAAAACAACUAGAAACGUGAGCCAUUGGGGAUAAAAGAAUCCCUAAUUUCAAAAGUGUUAACAUUGUUCUUCACUUCUUUGUCAACUCAAUUGUGUUGCUGCCUUCGCCCAUGGCUUCCAAUUCCAAGUCUCAAAAGUCAGUGAAGAAUUAUUUUACCAAAGUUCCAAAAUCAAGUUUGGACUCUCAUGAUCAACCUAAUCUAGAAGAAAAUGUCAACCACUCAGAAGUACCAUUGCUUUCUUCUCAGGAAUUUGAUUUGAAUUCUUUAAAGCAUGAUCCGGGUGAAAGAACUCAAAUCUUGGACUUUCAUCCAAAUCAUCGUGAUGUCAUUCGAAGAGAAUACCUUAGGAGAGGUCCUUGUCAACCUCGGCUUAAAGAGUAUCCUAAAACAAAUGAAUAAGAGUUAUUUUAGUGGUU
Long non-coding RNA from Lycium barbarum (goji berry), 718 nucleotides. RefSeq lists it as uncharacterized. The record is from RefSeq and is a predicted model, not a curated record. The transcript has 2 exons. NCBI's taxonomy places the organism in Eukaryota, Viridiplantae, Streptophyta, Magnoliopsida, Solanales, Solanaceae.